Molecule: long non-coding RNA, 411 nt
Organism: Chinchilla lanigera (long-tailed chinchilla)
Lineage: Eukaryota; Metazoa; Chordata; Mammalia; Rodentia; Chinchillidae
Exons: 2
Source: RefSeq, a predicted model, not a curated record
UUCCCCAUGGUUUUAUAACAUGACAAAAUGGAAAGGUCGAGAACAGAAUGAUAGCAGAUGCAUUAUGUUUCUGUGAACGUUUUAUCCCAUGGCAGAAGCUUCUGUGUACAAUGGAAUCCACCAAGGAUCUUCAAAUCUAGCUAUCUUCCCAACCAAGACAAGCUCUACUUGAUUAUAGCACCUUAGCCUCAUUCAAUUUCUAAUUAAUUUGUCAUGCAAUAGAGUUGAGAGUACAUAUAAAUGGGAGAUCUGAAGUAAAAGCAGAGGAAGUGGGUUGUCGCUCACCUCCCCUCCCCUCGGCCCUGGUUUCCCAUCUUCAGCAUCCCCUUCCUUCCUGCUGGGUCUGGGUUCUUUGCCCAGCUGCAAUUACUCCAUUAUGCUAUUAAAGUUCAGAAUGUGCAACAUGCCCGA